GAUGAACGCUGGCGGCGUGCCUAAUACAUGCAAGUCGAGCGAACAGACGAGGAGCUUGCUCCUCUGACGUUAGCGGCGGACGGGUGUGUAACACGUGGAUAACCUACCUAUAAGACUGGGAUAACUUCGGGACACCGGAGCUAAUACCGGAUAAUAUAUUGAACCGCAUGGUUCAAUAGUGAAAGACGGUUUUGCUGUCACUUAUAGAUGGAUCCGCGCCGCAUUAGCUAGUUGGUAAGGUAACGGCUUACCAAGGCAACGAUGCCUAACCGACCGGUGUGGGUGAUCGGCCACCCGGGAGCGGAGACACGGUCCAGCUGCCUACGGGAGGCAGCAGUCGCGUACCCUCGGCAAUGGGCGAGAGCCUGACGGAGCAGCGCCGCGUGAGUGAUGACGUCGUUGGGAUCGUGAAACUCUGUUACUGGGGGAGAACCAAUUUGGAAGUAACUAUGCACGUCGUGACGGUACCUAAUAAGAAAGCCACGGCUAACUACGUG
Molecule: ribosomal RNA, 497 nt
Filed under: uncultured bacterium
Lineage: Bacteria
Description: partial 16S ribosomal RNA
Rfam family: Bacterial small subunit ribosomal RNA
Source: RNAcentral